Molecule: small nucleolar RNA, 125 nt
Filed under: Nannospalax galili (Upper Galilee mountains blind mole rat)
Lineage: Eukaryota; Metazoa; Chordata; Mammalia; Rodentia; Spalacidae
Description: Small nucleolar RNA SNORA63 (ENSNGAG00000004769.1)
Source: RNAcentral
GGUUGGGUCUAUUGUUACAAUGUAGCAGUGAAAUGCCAUGCUGUCCUUUCCCUCAAGCCAGAGCAAGUGUCCAGCUCUGUCAAGCUCAGUUCUACAGCCAGACAGGGAUGCUUGGUCUCAAACAU